ACUCUCAGAAUCGGCGAAUGUCCCCAUUCAAUUGGAAGAGUCUUCAUGUUGUGACGUAGAUUCAUUGAUGUGCAGAGCAUGUAAUUUGAGUUUAGGGUGGCCAUUUAGGUUUCCUGCUGCGGAUUCAGGCUUUCGUGCUUGGUAUGUUACAAUCCAAGUGUGGAAUGACGGUCAUUUGACUCGUGGUCGUCUUUUCGUUGAGAAUUGUGAAUGGUUUUAGAUUUGAGUCUUGCAAUGGAAAACGUGAACAAUAGAAACGUAGAGAAUUGUGUUGUUUUUGAGAAUUGAUGAGAAGGCCGUUCAGUAUUUUGGGGUUGUGAUAUAAAGAUAGGAAAACGUCCAUUGCCUUGUAGAGGGAGGCAUUCAGCAUAUUCUGCAGACUUUCCAGUUUGAUGCCAGGAAUACACCGAAGCUGUUCCUGCAAUCGCACAAAAUCCAACCAGUGAGCCCCUGUAUUUUCUGGAGUAAACAAAGCUCGGAACUCCGGUUUUUGCGGAGGAUUCCAACAGGGAUGAACCGAAUUUCCCCUUUGAAUCUCUUCGAAAGCUUUCUCCAAUUGUAGCACCCGAAGGUACGAUAUUCGAGCUGUAGAAUGAGGCCGACGAUUAUCUUCUGUUUUCUUUUUCUUUUUCUUUUAACCCAAGAAGAAAAUACUAGAGACCCCUUGUCGGUGCAGUUCACAUCGACAAGUGCUUGCUAGACUUCCUCAGAACUCGGUGUUGACGAUUCUUACUGUGCACAGGACGACCUUUGACAGUGCACACUGUGGUGAAGGAACCUUAAAUGGACAGGGGAGCUAAAGGAUUGUCAAUAAUGAAGAGAACCCACUAUCAGAGUGCUGGAAAUAAGUGCCUAUAUGAAGACUAGCAGGACCAUGAGCUAGUACUGAAACAAACUUCAAAAGACGGAGACAAGUUAUCCAAGAGUGAAGGAAUCCAAAAAUUGCGAUGAGUUUUUCGACUCUACGAGAGUCGUGAACGAUGAUGAGAAUCUCCAAAACCUGCCCAACAGAGGAUAAGUAAUUUAGUCCCAACUUCUCGUACACAAACAAAUGCCUGCACACCCAAGUAAUAAAAAUUGAAUUUAAACCAAUUUGAAAAUAUAGAUUCGGUUCCAAGGUUUAUGGCCAACAGUAACAUCUGACAACAGCAAAUAAAAAAUCAUCACAGCAUUAACCAAAGUGAACACAACAAAAAGAACACGGGACAAAUAUGGCGCAACAAGAGCUUCUAUACUUUCUGAAAAAACUAAGCAACGAGUCCCAAGUUUUGCGCUUUCGCAAACCCAACUUCACUAAAGCUAGGGGCUAGUAAAGACCUUGAUCCUAGGCUGCGUGCGCAAUAGCCCAUGUAAACUGGUUAAAACAUGAAGGAACCAAAAACAAUGUAAAGUGCCACACAAAGUUCAGUUUAGACCCAGGAAAGAAGGAUCUCCCUGGGAGAAACACCAUAGGCACCAAAAUCCUGAACUCAAGCUUAAGCUUGGGUCGGCAUCUUGAGUUGAACAAUAGAGCAUCGGCGACUUGAACAAACAUCGGAUACGCACGAGAGUGAAGUAACUUCAGAAAAACACUGCUAUGUGCACUUUGAGGAGCAGCUCACGCACUCAGCGGACAAUUCUCCGUAGGAAA
RNAcentral lists this long non-coding RNA (1630 nucleotides) under Physcomitrium patens. RNAcentral describes it as "long non-coding RNA (PPAT_LNC012198)". Lineage: Eukaryota; Viridiplantae; Streptophyta; Bryopsida; Funariales; Funariaceae. The record is from RNAcentral.